RNAcentral lists this ribosomal RNA (253 nucleotides) under uncultured bacterium. RNAcentral's name for it is "partial 16S ribosomal RNA". It matches the Rfam family "Bacterial small subunit ribosomal RNA", at positions 524 to 776 of the family's 1533-position model. The record is from RNAcentral.
UACAGAGGUCUCAAGCGUUGUUCGGAUUCAUUGGGCGUAAAGGGUGCGUAGGCGGCGCGCUAAGUCGGGUGUGAAAUUUCGGAGCUUAACUCCGAAACUGCAUUCGAUACUGGCGUGCUUGAGGACUGGAGAGGAGACUGGAAUUCAUGGUGUAGCAGUGAAAUGCGUAGAGAUCAUGAGGAAGACCAGUGGCGAAGGCGGGUCUCUGGACAGUUCCUGACACUGAGACACGAAGGCCAGGGGAGCAAACGGG